RNAcentral lists this ribosomal RNA (481 nucleotides) under uncultured bacterium. RNAcentral describes it as "partial 16S ribosomal RNA". It matches the Rfam family "Bacterial small subunit ribosomal RNA", at positions 899 to 1397 of the family's 1533-position model. The record is from RNAcentral.
ACUCAAAGGAAUUGACGGGGGCCCGCACAAGCAGCGGAGCGUGUGGUUUAAUUCGAUGCAACGCGAAGAACCUUACCAGGGUUUGACAUGCGCGUGGUAGAACGGGGAAACCCGAACGACCCGCAAGGGAGCGCGCACAGGUGCUGCAUGGCUGUCGUCAGCUCGUGCCGUGAGGUGUCGGGUUAAGUCCCGUAACGAGCGCAACCCUCGUCAGUAGUUAUUUGUCUACUGAGACUGCCGGGGCAACCCGGAGGAAGGCGGGGAUGACGUCAAGUCAGCAUGGCCCUUACGUCCUGGGCUACACACACGCUACAAUGGUCGGUACAAUGGGACGCAAGGCCGCGAGGUGGAGCCAAUCCCCAAAACCGAUCUCAGUCGGAAUUGCAGGCUGCAACUCGCCUGCAUGAACGCGGAGUUGCUAGUAACCGCUGGUCAGCACACAGCGGUGAAUACGUACCCGGGCCUUGCACACACCGCCCGU